UACGGAGGGUGCAAGCGUUAAUCGGAAUUACUGGGCGUAAAGGGUGCGUAGGUGGUUUGGUAAGUUAACUGUGAAAGCCCUGGGCUUAACCUGGGAAUUGCAGUUAAGACUGUCGAACUCGAGUAUGGGAGAGGGUAGUGGAAUUUCCGGUGUAGCGGUGAAAUGCGUAGAGAUCGGAAGGAACACCAGUGGCGAAGGCGGCUACCUGGCCUAAUACUGACACUGAGGCACGAAAGCGUGGGGAGCAAACAGG
Molecule: unclassified non-coding RNA, 253 nt
Filed under: uncultured Legionellaceae bacterium
Lineage: Bacteria; Pseudomonadati; Pseudomonadota; Gammaproteobacteria; Legionellales; Legionellaceae
Description: contains 16S-23S intergenic spacer region
Rfam family: Bacterial small subunit ribosomal RNA
Source: RNAcentral